UAGGGAAUCUUCGGCAAUGGACGGAAGUCUGACCGAGCAACGCCGCGUGAGUGAAGAAGGUUUUCGGAUCGUAAAGCUCUGUUGUAAGAGAAGAACGAGUGUGAGAGUGGAAAGUUCACACUGUGACGGUAUCUUACCAGAAAGGGACGGCUAACUACGUGCCAGCAGCCGCGGUAAUACGUAGGUCCCGAGCGUUGUCCGGAUUUAUUGGGCGUAAAGCGAGCGCAGGCGGCUAGAUAAGUCUGAAGUUAAAGGCUGUGGCUUAACCAUAGUACGCUUUGGAAACUGUUUAACUUGAGUGCAAGAGAGGGGAGAGAGAUUUCCAUGGUAGCGGUGAAAUGCGUAGAUAUAUGGAGGAACACCGGUGGCGAAAGCGGCUCUCUGGCUUGUAACUGACGCUGAGGCUCGAAAGCGUGGGGAGCAAACAGGAUUAGAUACCCUGGUAGUCCACGCCGUAAACGAUGAGUGCUAGGUGUUGGGUCCUUUCCGGGACUCAGUGCCGCAGCUAACGCAUUAAGCACUCCGCCUGGGGAGUACGACCGCAAGGUUG
RNAcentral lists this ribosomal RNA (550 nucleotides) under uncultured bacterium. RNAcentral describes it as "bacterial SSU rRNA". It matches the Rfam family "Bacterial small subunit ribosomal RNA", at positions 355 to 896 of the family's 1533-position model. The record is from RNAcentral.